Molecule: long non-coding RNA, 241 nt
Filed under: Lathyrus oleraceus (garden pea)
Lineage: Eukaryota; Viridiplantae; Streptophyta; Magnoliopsida; Fabales; Fabaceae
Description: Pisum sativum (pea) long non-coding RNA (PSAT_LNC016758)
Source: RNAcentral
GAAAAAAUAAAAAUCAGAUGAAGAAAAUUAAAGAGAAUUUUAGAAAUUAUUUUGAAAUUUUUUGGAUAAAAAAUGAAAUUACUAUGAAUUUUAAAAGAAAAAGCAAUUAAAAAAAAUUAAAAUCAGAAAAAACACGGAGGCUUAGAUCACGCCUCAUUAAUUGAUGUGGCGAAUUCAACACUCAAGAUUUUAGAGAAUAUGAUGGAACAUGCUACAAGCAAUACACAAGAUCGAAUUCAAA